AUUCUGGCUCAGGAUGAACGCUAGCUACAGGCCUAACACAUGCAAGUCGAGGGGCAGCAUGGGGGUUGCUUGCAAUCCCUGAUGGCGACCGGCGAAUGGGUGAGUCACGCGUGUCCAACCUGCCCCCCGCCCGGGCACAGCCCUUGGAAAUGAGGAUUAAUGCCCGAUAUGUGGGCAUGCCGCAUGGCGUGCUCAUGAAACGGACGGGGGAUGGGGACGCGUCGGAUUAGCUUGACGGCGGGGCGACGGCCCACCGUGGCGACGAUCCGCAGGGGUUCUGAGAGGAAGGUCCCCCACACUGGCACUGAGACACGGGCCAGACUCCUACGGGAGGCAGCAGUGAGGAAUAUUGGUCAAUGGCCGAGAGGCUGAACCAGCCAAGUAGCGUGCAAGGAUGACGGCCCUACGGGUUGUAAACUGCUUUUGCGGGAGGAUAAAGUGCACUACGUGUAGUGCUUUGCAGGUAUCCCGUGAAUAAGGACCGGCUAAUUCCGUGCCAGCAGCCGC
Molecule: ribosomal RNA, 507 nt
Filed under: uncultured bacterium
Lineage: Bacteria
Description: bacterial SSU rRNA
Rfam family: Bacterial small subunit ribosomal RNA
Source: RNAcentral